This 222-nucleotide non-coding RNA is filed under the name Bacillus sp. (in: firmicutes). RNAcentral's name for it is "Bacillus sp. T-box sequence". It matches the Rfam family "T-box leader". Rfam says of the family: Uncharged tRNA acts as the effector for transcription antitermination of genes in the T-box leader family. T-boxes are found upstream of many aminoacyl-tRNA synthetase genes and some amino acid biosynthetic genes usually in Gram-positive bacteria. The record is from RNAcentral. Lineage: Bacteria; Bacillati; Bacillota; Bacilli; Caryophanales; Bacillaceae.
GAAAUAACAUUGAUUGGGAAAAGUAAUCGUGAGCUUUUUUACACAGAGAGAGUGGUACUUGCUGAAAUCCACUCUAAGAAACCGCGAUGAACAUGCACCCAGGAGUCUUAAUCUGAAUGGAGUUAGGUAAGUAGGAUUAGGCGGAUGAGCCACGUUAAGGCUGAUGAGAACCAGCGUUAGUCUGGAAAACAGAGUGGAACCGUGUAUGCAAACACCUCUGUA